RNAcentral lists this ribosomal RNA (563 nucleotides) under Cutaneotrichosporon dermatis. RNAcentral's name for it is "eukaryotic LSU rRNA". It matches the Rfam family "Eukaryotic large subunit ribosomal RNA", at positions 71 to 626 of the family's 3401-position model. The record is from RNAcentral. Lineage: Eukaryota; Fungi; Basidiomycota; Tremellomycetes; Trichosporonales; Trichosporonaceae.
GGGUAUCCUUUAGUACGGCGAGUGACCGGGAAAAGCUCAAAUUUGUAAUCUGGCUGUCUUCGAUAGUCCGAGUUGUAAUCUAUAGACGUGUUUUCCGUGCUGGACCGUAUCUAAGUCCCUUGGAACAGGGUAUCAAAGAGGGUGACAAUCCCGUGCUUGAUACGACCACCAGUGCUCUGUGAUACACGCUCUACGAGUCGAGUUGUUUGGGAAUGCAGCUCAAAAUGGGUGGUAAAUUCCAUCUAAAGCUAAAUAUUGGCGAGAGACCGAUAGCGAACAAGUACCGUGAGGGAAAGAUGAAAAGCACUUUGGAAAGAGAGUUAAACAGUACGUGAAAUUGUUGAAAGGGAAACGAUUGAAGUCAGUCGUGUUCUUUGGAUUCAGCUAGUUCUUCUAGUCUACUUCCAUUGAACGGGUCAACAUCAGUUUUGUCCGGUGGAUAAAGAUAGUAGGAAUGUAGCUCCCCCGGGAGUGUUAUAGACUAUUAUUGCAUACACUGGGUGAGACUGAGGACUGCAGCUCGCCUUUUGGCCGGUCUUCGGACACGUUCGAGCUUAGGAUGU